CAUGUACCCUGGCGAAGAUCCCAGAGGCAACAUGAAUUUUGUGCAAUUACAUCCAAGAGCAGCUAGAUCCAAACACGUGGUGCCUUCUCAGCUUUUCUAUUGAGAGGAAGGAACAAAGAGAAGGGUUAAAUUUCAAUUCCCAGAUUUGUAGGAUAAACAAUGCAGGAACCAUCUGAUUGACUGUUCCAUUUCUGGGGUCUUCUGGCAGCGGGCAUAACUUACAGUGUCCUCUGAACUCAUCAAUGGAAAACUGGCAUCUUUGCCAUCUACACUUGUGCAUCUGUUAUUCCAUUUCUUUUGAGAUCACUAAGCACCAACAGGAAUCUGGAAUAAAUAUGUACCUAUGAGAAAAAGCAAGAAAAAUGACUUACCAAGUCCUGACUGUUCCUUGGAAACUUUUGCACAUGUAACUAGAGAGAAUAUUGCAAAAUGAUCAUGGCUUGCUUUAUAGAUUUCAAAAGUGAAGAAAGCUCUUGAGUCACCACCACAAAAAGAAAAACAACCCAGGAGGAAAAGACCACCUACAACUGAUGAGGGGCCAGACACCUGCCUUUAAUUGAGUGCCUAAAGAAAACACUAUAUGGUCACCCUUUAAUUUGUAAUGAGUUCUGACUUGCUUUGACACAAGCUAUGUGAACUGCCAUGUGUGCUGCCAGUUGACGGUAAAAAGGAAAUUCUUAUGCUGGAGCAUGUUAUGUGUCUGUGCAGACCUGAAGCAUGGUCCAAAAUGUGAAAAACAGAAUAAAAUCCUGCUUGGCUGAACAGAAAUCACAGGAGCGUGUGGUAGAGGAUAACGCUGGACAGCCACUGAGGGAGAAGAUAGUGAUUUUAUGUUCUAAUACGGAAAAAUACAUUACUCUCUUACUUGCUUGGAAAUGAACGAAAACAAAAGCAUCUCUUACAGGUAGCUCAAGACAAGAAGUAAGAGGAGGGAGGAUUCCUGAGAGAGAAAAACACAACCCUGGAGUAAGAAGAACUGAGAGGAAACUUACCACUGAUUAACUGACUUCAAGUCAGAUAUGGAUUUAUUUCUUUUGCAGUUUAUUUUGUAAAUUCAAAAACCCUGAAAGAGUGUAAACUUUGAUUUGAUAUAAGGAUAUUUAAACCAGACAGUGAUGUUACUUUAUCAUAAUUCACACUUAUGACCUUGUGUUAAAUUGCUUUGGUCUUACUUAGGAAACAAUUAAUGUCAUUGUACAUUUUGCCUUACAUAAUAAGAGUUUUGUCUAAGUACCAUAAUGACAUUUCUGGUCUGAAGUUGCUUUUCUUUUAAGCCAGAAUCCAUCAGAUCAUACUAGCAUAAGGUCAGGUUGAGGAACAACAGUAGCUUUACUUCUGUAUAAUUUUACAUCUAUAAUAGCCCCCAGAUUGACUCACUACCAUGUUGGUGUUACCGAAUUAACAAAUAAAGUCUUAAACUUUUAAUUAAAUCUGUUUUGGAAGACCCAUGGGUUUGUACAAAGUUGCAGUGGAGCUGGAGAAGUUAUUCUUGUCUUUUUAGGUGUAAAUUAAAGUGUAGCUCUUUUAAAGCUAAUGUGUGAGUUUAUUUCCAUACGAAGCAAUAUGAGUUCCAGUUUUUAGAAUGCUUUGUAUUUGCAAGUGCUCUCAUAAAGGUAAUUAGUGUGCAAGAGAUCUUCAGUGUGCUUGAUAUGAGAAACACAAACAGGUCUUUCAUCGUGCUCAUUAUACAAGAAUAAUCUUUAUAUCAAAUACCGACUGAUAAUGUUAAUUGUCAAGAUAAUGACAAGUGCCUCCCAUCAAACUUCAGUAAAUCGUGCAAAGCAAUUUACUUAAAAGGGCUAUUCCAAAUCCUUUCAUUAUAUUUUGCAAAGCAACAUCAUUGCAAGUUGGAUUUUGUCAUAAGCGUACAGCACAGGAGGCCUUGAAAAGGAGGAAAUUUGGGCUUUGCAUUCUGCUAGGUGAACAUUGCUUAACCUUUCAGAACUUCCCAGCCAUGGGCAGAAAUAUCAUUUUACAGUGUGUAUUGUAUGAGAACAAUCACAAAGUCUUUUAGAUGGAGCUCUAUGUAGCAGUGAUGCCAGACACUAUUUCCUUCUCAUCUUACGGCAUUUAAAGGUGAUGUAAAACAGGAUGUAAAUGAUCUUGAAUUUUCUGAAGAUACUAUAGGGCGAUUUUAUUUAAAGAGAAAGCAUUAUUUUAAAAACAAAGGAUAAACUCUUGAGGGUUACAAGAUUGAUUUAAUUGAAAGACUGCAGGAAAAGAAAAUUUGGUUAUCUUUCA
Long non-coding RNA from Gallus gallus (chicken), 2241 nucleotides. NCBI's taxonomy places the organism in Eukaryota, Metazoa, Chordata, Aves, Galliformes, Phasianidae. The record is from Ensembl.